GCCGUUAUAGGAGAACUAGAAUGGGUUUUCGUCUCAUCCAAUAUAUUACGCGACUGCCACCAUUGAGAUUGGUUUGCCCAUUUCAAUAUAAAUAGAGGUGACUGGUGAGGUUGUAAUGGGGCUCUCAAUUCUUGAUUCAGCAAUGAAUCCUCAAGCCAUUGGAACUUGCAGAGACUACUCAGUCUCUUUUGCUUACUCCUACACCUUCCCCAAUUCACUCCCUACUUCAAAUUUCAAAUCCCAAUUCAUUCCUCACAAUCUAACUUUUCGAAAAUCAAAAACCACUUUCUCUGCGACAAGGCCGCCUCGAAGUCUUGUAAUUUGCUCUGCCGAGAGAACUUCUCCGGCCAAGGCUUUGCGCCUGAUUCUUGGAUCGCCUGGUAUCCACCAGGGCCCUGCUUGUUUUGAUGCUCUUAGUGCAAAGCUCGUGGAGAGAGCGGGAUUCGAUUACUGCUUCACUAGUGGAUUUUCAAUAUCGGCUGCUAGAUUGGCAUUGCCUGAUACUGGCUUUAUUUCCUAUGGGGAAAUGGUGGAUCAGGGGCAAUUAAUCACUCAAGCUGUGUCAAUUCCUAUCAUUGGGGAUGGUGAUAAUGGCUAUGGAAAUGCCAUGAAUGUCAAAAGAACUGUUAAGGGAUACAUAAAAGCUGGCUUUGCGGGAAUCAUUCUUGAAGAUCAGGUGUUCCCAAAAGCUUGUGGUCACACACGUGGUAGGAAAGUGGUGUCUAGAGAAGAAGCAGUGAUGCGUAUAAAAGCAGCUGUUGAUGCUCGGGAAGAGGUUGGCUCUGACAUUGUUAUUGUUGCACGAACUGAUUCUCGACAAGCAAUAUCCUUGGAUGAAUCACUUUGGAGGUCAAGAGCUUUUGCUGAUGCUGGAGCUGAUGUUCUUUUUAUCGAUGCACUAGCUUCAAGAGAAGAGAUGAAGUCUUUCUGUGAAAUCUCUCCUCUAGUUCCAAAAAUGGCCAAUAUGCUUGAAGGAGGGGGGAAAACUCCAAUACUCAAUCCUUUGGAACUUGAGGAAGUUGGAUAUAAACUUGUGGCUUACCCUCUUUCCUUGAUCGGGGUAUCUAUACAAGCGAUGCAGGAUGCAUUAACUGCCAUUAAAGGAGGUCGGAUUCCUCCUCCUGGAAGCAUGCCGACUUUUGAAGGAAUAAAGGAAAUAUUAGGUUUCAACUCUUAUUAUGAAGAAGAGAAGCGGUAUGCUAUCAGCACAAGUCAAAUGCUUAGGCCAGGAGGUGAGUGAGAAUUGGACCUUUACACCUGGACCAACUUGAUUUGCCUAAGAACUAUCUUACUUUGAACUUUGCUAAGAUAUUUUAGGUGUUCUAGCAUGUCAAUAAUCAAAGCUUCAAAGCUAGAUUUUUUUUUCCCUGGUUCAUUUUGUUACUCUCUUCAUUAGAGUUUCUUGUUUCUUUGUUAAGUGAAAGAUUGGUUUGGUAAAUCCUCCAAUCUAAAUACUUAAACUACUGUCUGGAAAGAGGCAGGAAACCCAUCCAAGAGCUUAUCUUAUUGUCAUGGGACAAUGUACUCAAACACCACCUUCCAUGUUCAGGCGAAGAAAAAGGCACAAGUUCCUUCCUUUGAGCUCUUUAACAACUAUUAUAGCUCACAAGUUCCUUCUUUUGCAUGGACAGUUCCCAAUUGAGAACUAUAUUAGCUUUUCAACAAAGCCAUGUGACUAUGGACUCUUACUUUCUUCUUUGUUUUUCCUAAAUUUAGUCUUAAUAUAAACUUUAUAAUUUCCCAUCUAUCAACCUGCUACUAUGCAAGUCUAAGAUAAGACAGCCUGCUAUUACUUGUUGUAAUUCUGAUAAAUGUAGGUUAUACAUCAGCAAGCAGUAAUGUAUAUGGUAUACAACGGAGGUCUCCAGAUGAUACACAGCAGAGAAGUCAAAGUCCUCAAGAUCCUGUUGUUGAAGUGAUAACUCCUGAUGUAUACAAUAACUAUGGUGCAGAUGGUUUAAGAGAUCCAUUUUCUGGGAUCUGGUCUCGGACAUUGAGAAUCAAAAUAACUGGAAGAGAUGGAUUUGAAAAACUUGAUGUUAGGAUUCCUGCUGGGUUCUUAGAAGGUAUCACAAAUAUUGUUCCAGCUUUGGGGGGUGUGAACAUCAAAGAGCUCUUGGAUGAUGCAACCGGGAACUAGAAGACAAGUUGUUGGAUUUUAAAUUUUAAUUAUAACGUGGGUGACAGAAUUCAAGUAUUUCUAGAAUAAAAUUUUUUCCCCAAGUCAAUGGAAAAGGUACCUCUAACUUUAGGUAAAACAACUUUUCAAUUCAGCAGUUCUUUCUAUUUCUUCUUAUAUAGUCCUCCGUUUUUUUUUGACUUGUUCAAUUCAGAAGUGUUUUGUUCCUCAAAUGCGAACUAUAGAAGACAAUCUGAAAAAUGAGACAUCAUAAA
Molecule: unclassified non-coding RNA, 2394 nt
Filed under: Hevea brasiliensis (rubber tree)
Lineage: Eukaryota; Viridiplantae; Streptophyta; Magnoliopsida; Malpighiales; Euphorbiaceae
Source: RNAcentral